Molecule: ribosomal RNA, 496 nt
Filed under: uncultured Frankineae bacterium
Lineage: Bacteria; Bacillati; Actinomycetota; Actinomycetes; Frankiales
Description: bacterial SSU rRNA
Rfam family: Bacterial small subunit ribosomal RNA
Source: RNAcentral
AGAGUUUGAUCAUGGCUCAGGACGAACGCUGGCGGCGCGCUUAACACAUGCAAGUCGAGCGAGAACCGAGGCUUCGGCCUCGGGGACAGCGGCGAACGGGUGAGUAACACGUGGAUAACCUGCCCUCGGCACCGGGAUAGCCCGAGGAAACUCGGAUUAAUACCGGAUAGCCCUUUCGACUUUUCGAGUCGGUCGGAAAAGGUAGCUUCGGCCUCUGGCCGAGGAUGGGUCCGCGGCGGAUUAGCUUGUUGGUGGGGUAAUGGCCUACCAAGGCUUCGAUCCGUAGCUGGUCUGAGAGGACGAUCAGCCACACUGGGACUGAGACACGGCCCAGACUCCUACGGGAGGCAGCAGUGGGGAAUCUUGCGCAAUGGGCGAAAGCCUGACGCAGCGACGCCGCGUGAGGGAAGAAGGCCUUCGGGUUGUAAACCUCUUUCAGCAGGGACGAAGCUACUCGGGUUAAUAGCCCAGAGGGUGACGGUACCUGCAGAAGAGC